RNAcentral lists this ribosomal RNA (403 nucleotides) under uncultured bacterium. RNAcentral's name for it is "SSU rRNA". It matches the Rfam family "Bacterial small subunit ribosomal RNA", at positions 1 to 410 of the family's 1533-position model. The record is from RNAcentral.
GGCUUAGAGUUUGAUCCUGGCUCAGAUUGAACGCUGGCGGCAUGCUUUACACAUGCAAGUCAAACGGCAGCGCGGGGCAGCCUGGCGGCGAGUGGCGAACGGGUGAGUAAUAUAUCGGAACGUACCCAAGAGUGGGGGAUAACGUAGCGAAAGUUACGCUAAUACCGCAUACGAUCUAAGGAUGAAAGCAGGGGAUCUUCGGACCUUGUGCUCCUGGAGCGGCCGAUAUCUGAUUAGCUAGUUGGUGAGGCAAAGGCUCACCAAGGCGACGAUCAGUAGCUGGUCUGAGAGGACGACCAGCCACACUGGAACUGAGACACGGUCCAGACUCCUACGGGAGGCAGCAGUGGGGAAUUUUGGACAAUGGGCGAAAGCCUGAUCCAGCAAUGCCGCGUGAGUGAAG